RNAcentral lists this transfer RNA (31 nucleotides) under Zimmerius chrysops chrysops. Its description in RNAcentral is "partial tRNA-Met". The record is from RNAcentral. Lineage: Eukaryota; Metazoa; Chordata; Aves; Passeriformes; Tyrannidae.
GGAAAUGAUGGUUUAAUCCCUUCCCUUACUA